UGGCUCAGGACGAACGCUGGCGGCGUGCUUAACACAUGCAAGUCGAACGGGAACCUUUAUUUCGGUAAAGGUGAGAGUGGCAAACGGGUGAGUAACACGUAGGCAACCUGCCGACAGGAUGGGGACAACAUUCCGAAAGGAAUGCUAAUACCGAAUGGAGUCCGAGGAUGGCAUCAUCCUUGGAUCAAAGAUGGCCUCUUAACAAUGCUAUCGCCUGUCGAUGGGCCUGCGUCUGAUUAGCCAGUUGGCGGGGUAACGGCUCACCAAGGCGACGAUACAUAGCCGACCUGAGAGGGUGAUCGGCCACACUGGGACUGAGACACGGCCCAGACUCCUACGGGAGGCAGCAGUAGGGAAUCUUCGGCAAUGGGGGGAACCCUGACCGAGCAACGCCGCGUGAGUGAAGAAGGUUUUCGGAUCGUAAAGCUCUGUUGUAAGAGAAGAACGAGUGUGAGAGUGGAAAGUUCACACUGUGACGGUAUCUUACCAGAAAGGGACGGCUAACUACGUGCCAGCAGCCGCGGUAAUACGUAGGUCCCGAGCGUUAUCCGGAUUUAUUGGGCGUAAAGCGAGCGCAGGCGGUUAGAUAAGUCUGAAGUUAAAGGCUGUGGCUUAACCAUAGUACGCUUUGGAAACUGUUUAACUUGAGUGCAGAAGGGGAGAGUGGAAUUCCAUGUGUAGCGGUGAAAUGCGUAGAUAUAUGGAGGAACACCGGUGGCGAAAGCGGCUCUCUGGUCUGUAACUGACGCUGAGGCUCGAAAGCGUGGGGAGCAAACAGGAUUAGAUACCCU
RNAcentral lists this ribosomal RNA (791 nucleotides) under uncultured bacterium. Its description in RNAcentral is "bacterial SSU rRNA". It matches the Rfam family "Bacterial small subunit ribosomal RNA", at positions 20 to 788 of the family's 1533-position model. The record is from RNAcentral.